Molecule: long non-coding RNA, 941 nt
Organism: Eucalyptus grandis
Lineage: Eukaryota; Viridiplantae; Streptophyta; Magnoliopsida; Myrtales; Myrtaceae
Exons: 3
Source: RefSeq, a predicted model, not a curated record
UGGAGAAACGAUCAACAAGUAUUUCAACAAAGUGUUGAAAGCAAUUAUCAAACUUUCAAAAGAGAUAAUCAAACCACCGUCCUUUGAUGUCAUCCCAUAAGAAAUUCUUAUGGAUCCUAGUCAUAAGCGCUACUUCAAGGACUGCGUAGGUGCUAUGGAUGGCACCCAUAUAAAUGCUAUUAUCUCGGUGUCUCAGCAGGUUCGAUUUAGAGGCAGGAGAGGGACUACCACUUAGAACGUGUUGUGUGUUUGCUCAUUUGAUAUAAAAUUUACUUUCGUGUAUGCUGGAUGGGAAGGAUCUGCCAAUGAUUGUCGAGUGCUUUCGGCAGCACUCGAAACUCCUCAAUUGCAAUUUCCCCGACCACCACUUGGGAAAUACUAUGUGGUAGAUUUCGGUUAUGCAACACUUCCGGGAUUUUUAACUCCAUUUAGAAAGGAACGGUAUCAUCUCAGCGAAUAUAGAGGGAGUGGGAGACGGCCAAGAACAGCAAAAGAGUUAUUCAACUAUAAGCAUUCUUCACUAAGAAAUGUAAUUAAGAGGUCAUUUGGGGCAUUAAAGAAUCGCUUCACCAUUUUGAGACAUAUGCCUCCAUUUACAAUUCGGAAGCAAGCACUUGUUAUAAUUGCAUGUUGUGCUCUUCAUAAUUACAUUUGUGAUCAAGAUAGGAUGGACAUAAUUUUUUCCAUAUAUGAAGAUCCGGAGUAUCCAUUUGGACCUACAGAAGUCGAGGUUGCAGAUGAUACAUCGGAUGAGCAGGCAUCUGGGAUAAACAUGCUUAAGAUAAGUAUUGCAAAUAAAAUGGCAAAGUAUCACAAUAUGCAUGAGAUUUGUUGACUUUUGUAAUAUUGUUUUUAAGUAUUCACUGUGAUGAAGUUGAACAAUGAACUAUAUUGCUUCAUUAUUAUGAUGUCAUGUAUGGAAGGGUUCAUGUUAAGAUGUA